GGGAAUGUGGCUUAGUGGUAGAGUGCUUGCCUUGCAUGCAUGUAGCCCUGGGUUCGAUUCUUCAAUACCA
This is a non-coding RNA of Dipodomys ordii (Ord's kangaroo rat), 70 nucleotides long. The record is from Rfam. Lineage: Eukaryota; Metazoa; Chordata; Mammalia; Rodentia; Heteromyidae.